AGAUCUCUUCACCAUGUGUGUUGUGGACGACCUGGGGAAUAAUCUGCACCGAAAAAUAUAGGCUACAUUAUUAAACCACGCAGAGAUCCACUUCAUGCAUCAUUGUUUCUUGAUCAUUUCUUAAACACUACAGGCGCAUGUAGCCAAACCAAUUCGUGGCAUCACGCAUCGUGAUGCAGCCAUUUGCCGCGGACACAGAUUGACAACCACCACUGAAGUAGCCGCUUACCGCCAAAAAAGCAUGAUGCAGAUUGCGGCGUCGCGACACUGGACGGAGAAAAAAGCAUAGGCCUACUCCGUCAGCUGCAUUGAGUUAUCUGCGAGACUGCAGGGCACAAUUCCGAGUGCCUCCGUGGACUUCUCAUGUCACCAAAACUUCGAAUGCACCAUAAUGGAGCGCCUUGCUGAAGAUCGGAUCAAUGUGCUGGUUUCAUUGACGACAUCAGGUCCAGUGACUGUCCAGCCGUCAUAAGUUUGAUCUGCAUAGCCCGAGUUCUCAAUGAGCCCAUCGCCGUCCCGGUCAAACUUCAUCUCAGACUCCAUCACCGCCUGUAUACCCGAUCAAAACAGCAAAGCUGUGAGUGCAGCUGAUGCACAUUGGUUGUGAAGGACCCAUUUGACCAUUUUUGUAUUUCUGUUACCAUACUGUAAAAUUUGGCUUUAGGUUGCUUUUAUGUUAUUUUAAGGUUGGUACUACUUGCAAGAAAUGAUUAAAUAAUUUGUAUUUUAGAACUAGAUGUACUGCAUAUCGGUGUUUAAUGACCAAGACAUUUUUGUUUUGAAGUUUCAAAAUAGGUGACAAACUUCUUUACAUCUUAGUGGUGACACGGUUCAUGAAAAAAAAUUCUCUUAUCUUGGAUCGGAACAUGAGUGCACCGUAGGGUUUUGACAGUUCAUGCGUAAUAUAGCCU
Molecule: long non-coding RNA, 911 nt
Organism: Sardina pilchardus (European sardine)
Lineage: Eukaryota; Metazoa; Chordata; Actinopteri; Clupeiformes; Clupeidae
Exons: 4
Source: RefSeq, a predicted model, not a curated record